Molecule: ribosomal RNA, 164 nt
Filed under: uncultured bacterium
Lineage: Bacteria
Description: partial 16S rRNA
Rfam family: Bacterial small subunit ribosomal RNA
Source: RNAcentral
UAGGGGAUCUUCCACAAUGGGCGAAAGCCUGAUGGAGCAACGCCGCGUGUGUGAUGAAGGCUUUCGGGUCGUAAAGCACUGUUGUAUGGGAAGAACAGCUAGAAUAGGAAAUGAUUUUAGUUUGACGGUACCAUACCAGAAAGGGACGGCUAAAUACGUGCCAG